ACCGGAUUAGAUACCCUGGUAGUCCACGCCCUAAACGAUGUCUACUAGUUGUCGGGUUUUAAUUAAACUUGGUAACGCAGCUAACGCGUGAAGUAGACCGCCUGGGGAGUACGGUCGCAAGAUUAAAACUCAAAGGAAUUGACGGGGACCCGCACAAGCGGUGGAUGAUGUGGAUUAAUUCGAUGCAACGCGAAAAACCUUACCUACCCUUGACAUGUACGGAAGACCGAAGAGAUUUGGUUGUGCUCGAAAGAGAACCGUAACACAGGUGCUGCAUGGCUGUCGUCAGCUCGUGUCGUGAGAUGUUGGGUUAAGUCCCGCAACGAGCGCAACCCUUGUCAUUAGUUGCUACAUUUAGUUGAGCACUCUAAUGAGACUGCCGGUGACAAACCGGAGGAAGGUGGGGAUGACGUCAAGUCCUCAUGGCCCUUAUGGGUAGGGCUUCACACGUCAUACAAUGGUACAUACAGAGGGCCGCCAACCCGCGAGGGGGAGCUAAUCCCAGAAAGUGUAUCGUAGUCCGGAUCGCAGUCUGCAACUCGACUGCGUGAA
RNAcentral lists this ribosomal RNA (552 nucleotides) under uncultured bacterium. RNAcentral describes it as "bacterial SSU rRNA". It matches the Rfam family "Bacterial small subunit ribosomal RNA", at positions 772 to 1324 of the family's 1533-position model. The record is from RNAcentral.